Molecule: ribosomal RNA, 367 nt
Filed under: uncultured bacterium
Lineage: Bacteria
Description: bacterial SSU rRNA
Rfam family: Bacterial small subunit ribosomal RNA
Source: RNAcentral
ACUCCUACGGGAGGCAGCAGUGGGGAAUAUUGCACAAUGGGCGCAAGCCUGAUGCAGCCAUGCCGCGUGUAUGAAGAAGGCCUUCGGGUUGUAAAGCACUUUCAGCGAGGAGGAAGGGGUGUUGUGUUAAAUAGCACAGCUAUUUUGACGUUACUCGCAGAAGAAGCACCGGCUAACUCCGUGCCAGCAGCCGCGGUAAUACGGAGGGUGCAAGCGUUAAUCGGAAUUACUGGGCGUAAAGCGCACGUAGGCGGUUAUGUUAAGUUGGAUGUGAAAGCCCCAGGGCUCAAACCUGGGAAUUGCAUUCAAAAACUUGGACACGACUAGAGUAUGUNAGAGGGGGGUAGAAUUCCAAGGUGUAGCGGUG